UCUCUGGUGGUCCAAUGAUAAGGGCACUACACUUCCACUGCAGGGGCCAUGGGUUCGAUUCCUGGUCGGGGAU
Molecule: transfer RNA, 73 nt
Filed under: Ovis aries (sheep)
Lineage: Eukaryota; Metazoa; Chordata; Mammalia; Artiodactyla; Bovidae
Rfam family: tRNA
About the family: Transfer RNA (tRNA) molecules are approximately 80 nucleotides in length. Their secondary structure includes four short double-helical elements and three loops (D, anti-codon, and T loops). Further hydrogen bonds mediate the characteristic L-shaped molecular structure. tRNAs have two regions of fundamental functional importance: the anti-codon, which is responsible for specific mRNA codon recognition, and the 3' end, to which the tRNAs corresponding amino acid is attached (by aminoacyl-tRNA synthetases). tRNAs cope with the degeneracy of the genetic code in two manners: having more than one tRNA (with a specific anti-codon) for a particular amino acid; and 'wobble' base-pairing, i.e. permitting non-standard base-pairing at the 3rd anti-codon position.
Source: Rfam by way of RNAcentral